UGGGGAAUAUUGCACAAUGGGGGAAACCCUGAUGCAGCGACGCCGCGUGAACGAAGAAGGUAUUCGUAUCGUAAAGUUCUGUCCUAUGGGAAGAUAAUGACAGUACCAUAGAAGAAAGCUCCGGCUAAAUACGUGCCACCAGCCGCGGUAAUACGUAUGGAGCGAGCGUUGUCCGGAAUUAUUGGGCGUAAAGGGUACGCAGGCGGUUUAAUAAGUCGAAUGUUAAAGAUCGGGGCUCAACCCCGCAAAGCAUUGGAAACUGAUAAACUUGAGUAGUGGAGAGGAAAGUGGAAUUCCUAGUGUAGUGGUGAAAUACGUAGAUAUUAGGAGGAAUACCAGUAGCGAAGGCGACUUUCUGGACACAAACUGACGCUGAGGUACGAAAGCGUGGGGAGCAAACAGG
Molecule: ribosomal RNA, 403 nt
Filed under: bacterium
Lineage: Bacteria
Description: partial 16S ribosomal RNA
Rfam family: Bacterial small subunit ribosomal RNA
Source: RNAcentral